Molecule: long non-coding RNA, 541 nt
Organism: Aethina tumida (small hive beetle)
Lineage: Eukaryota; Metazoa; Arthropoda; Insecta; Coleoptera; Nitidulidae
Exons: 2
Source: RefSeq, a predicted model, not a curated record
AUCAUAAAUUCUUCUAUCAUGGGAUUUGAAACCAAAGGUUUAGGCUUAUCUUAUGUAAUGUCUUGUUUAAAUGAUUUAAAUAAUACAUUUAACGGACAAGUAUGGGGUUAUAAUGAACCAGGUUUAAUAACACGAUUUUCUGAAAAAAAAUGUAAAACCAAAAACUUUAGUAUAUUAAAGAUUAUACAGUUCUUCCCCCAAAUAUGUUCAAUGCUAUUUCUUGGAAUGAAUGGCAAAAGUAUUUUAACGAAACAUGUAUGGAACAAUCUUAGCAAACGAUUUAAGCUUUCCUUGAAUUCGAAUGCGACAUAUAUGACACUGGCCAAGAAAUUUUGUCCUAAUAUAAUUAAAGAUCUAUGUGAUAUUUUUUAGUCAUAUAUUUCAAAUUAUUAGAAAUUGCUGUAUUUUCAGUUGAAAUAAAAUAUCAGCUCUGAAGUGACUUAAAUUAGGCAUUGAUUAACGAUAUUUUUAAAGCUGUUAAAUAUUUAUAUUAAUAAUUUUAAUUAGUUGUAAAUCUAUAAAUAAAUAAAUACUCUAUAAU